RNAcentral lists this ribosomal RNA (492 nucleotides) under uncultured bacterium. Its description in RNAcentral is "partial 16S ribosomal RNA". It matches the Rfam family "Bacterial small subunit ribosomal RNA", at positions 29 to 507 of the family's 1533-position model. The record is from RNAcentral.
AGUGAACGCUGGCGGUAGGCCUAACACAUGCAAGUCGAACGGCAGCACAGUAAGAGCUUGCUCUUACGGGUGGCGAGUGGCGGACGGGUGAGGAAUACAUCGGAAUCUACUUUUUCGUGGGGGAUAACGUAGGGAAACUUACGCUAAUACCGCAUACGACCUACGGGUGAAAGCAGGGGAUCUUCGGACCUUGCGCGAUUGAAUGAGCCGAUGUCGGAUUAGCUAGUUGGCGGGGUAAAGGCCCACCAAGGCGACGAUCCGUAGCUGGUCUGAGAGGAUGAUAAGCCACACUGGAACUGAGACACGGUCCAGACUCCUACGGGAGGCAGCAGUGGGGAAUAUUGGACAAUGGGCGCAAGCCUGAUCCAGCCAUACCGCGUGGGUGACGAAGGCCUUCGGGUUGUAAAGCCCUUUUGUUGGGAAAGAAAAGCAGCAGGUUAAUACCCCGCUGUUCUGACGGUACCCAAAGAAUAAGCACCGGCUAACUUCGUG